AAGGUGGCCUGUGAGGGUUGCUGGAGGUAUCAGAAGUGCGAAUGCUGACAUAAGUAACGAUAAAGCGGGUGAAAAGCCCGCUCGCCGGAAGACCAAGGGUUCCUGUCCAACGUUAAUCGGGGCAGGGUGAGUCGACCCCUAAGGCGAGGCCGAAAGGCGUAGUCGAUGGGAAACAGGUUAAUAUUCCUGUACUUGGUGUUACUGCGAAGGGGGGACGGAGAAGGCUAUGUUGGCCGGGCGACGGUUGUCCCGGUUUAAGCGUGUAGGUGUGUGUUCCAGGUAAAUCCGGUUCACUUUAACACUGAGGCGUGAUGACGAGGCACUACGGUGCUGAAGCAACAAAUGCCCUGCUUCCAGGAAAAGCCUCUAAGCAUCAGGUAACAUCAAAUCGUACCCCAAACCGACACAGGUGGUCAGGUAGAGAAUACCAAGGCGCUUGAGAGAACUCGGGUGAAGGAACUAGGCAAAAUGGUGCCGUAACUUCGGGAGAAGGCACGCUGACACGUAGGUGAAGUGAUUUACUCAUGGAGCUGAAGUCAGUCGAAGAUACCAGCUGGCUGCAACUGUUUAUUAAAAACACAGCACUGUGCAAACACGAAAGUGGACGUAUACGGUGUGACGCCUGCCCGGUGCCGGAAGGUUAAUUGAUGGGGUCAGCGCAAGCGAAGCUCCUGAUCGAAGCCCCGGUAAACGGCGGCCGUAACUAUAACGGUCCUAAGGUAGCGAAAUUCCUUGUCGGGUAAGUUCCGACCUGCACGAAUGGCGUAAUGAUGGCCAGGCUGUCUCCACCCGAGACUCAGUGAAAUUGAACUCGCUGUGAAGAUGCAGUGUACCCGCGGCAAGACGGAAAGACCCCGUGAACCUUUACUAUAGCUUGACACUGAACAUUGAGCCUUGAUGUGUAGGAUAGGUGGGAGGCUUUGAAGUGUGGACGCCAGUCUGCAUGGAGCCGACCUUGAAAUACCACCCUUUAAUGUUUGAUGUUCUAACGUGGACCCGUAAUCCGGGUUGCGGACAGUGUCUGGUGGGUAGUUUGACUGGGGCGGUCUCCUCCUAAAGAGUAACGGAGGAGCACGAAGGUUGGCUAAUCCUGGUCGGACAUCAGGAGGUUAGUGCAAUGGCAUAAGCCAGCUUGACUGCGAGCGUGACGGCGCGAGCAGGUGCGAAAGCAGGUCAUAGUGAUCCGGUGGUUCUGAAUGGAAGGGCCAUCGCUCAACGGAUAAAAGGUACUCCGGGGAUAACAGGCUGAUACCGCCCAAGAGUUCAUAUCGACGGCGGUGUUUGGCACCUCGAUGUCGGCUCAUCACAUCCUGGGGCUGAAGUAGGUCCCAAGGGUAUGGCUGUUCGCCAUUUAAAGUGGUACGCGAGCUGGGUUUAGAACGUCGUGAGACAGUUCGGUCCCUAUCUGCCGUGGGCGCUGGAGAACUGAGGGGGGCUGCUCCUAGUACGAGAGGACCGGAGUGGACGCAUCACUGGUGUUCGGGUUGUCAUGCCAAUGGCACUGCCCGGUAGCUAAAUGCGGAAGAGAUAAGUGCUGAAAGCAUCUAAGCACGAAACUUGCCCCGAGAUGAGUUCU
Molecule: ribosomal RNA, 1576 nt
Filed under: Salmonella enterica subsp. enterica serovar Alachua
Lineage: Bacteria; Pseudomonadati; Pseudomonadota; Gammaproteobacteria; Enterobacterales; Enterobacteriaceae
Description: bacterial LSU rRNA
Rfam family: Bacterial large subunit ribosomal RNA
Source: RNAcentral